Molecule: transfer RNA, 101 nt
Filed under: Ampelomyces quisqualis
Lineage: Eukaryota; Fungi; Ascomycota; Dothideomycetes; Pleosporales; Phaeosphaeriaceae
Rfam family: tRNA
About the family: Transfer RNA (tRNA) molecules are approximately 80 nucleotides in length. Their secondary structure includes four short double-helical elements and three loops (D, anti-codon, and T loops).
Source: Rfam by way of RNAcentral
UCCGAAUUAGUACAGUGGCUAGUAUAUUCCGCUCUCAAUCAGAGCUUCUCACAUGGGCUGUGGGAUCCGGAAAGACAGGAGUUCGAUUCUCCUAUUCGGAG